This 69-nucleotide non-coding RNA is filed under the name unclassified sequences. The record is from RNAcentral.
GGAAUAAAGUAAGACACCUCCACGUGGUUUAUUCCGGGCAACAAAGAUAAUACUUUGGCUAAGUCUUAC